GGGAAUGUGGCUUAAUGGUAGAGUGCUUGCCUAGUAUGCAUGAAUCAAACCCUGGGUUCGAUUCCUCAGUACCA
Molecule: transfer RNA, 74 nt
Filed under: Dipodomys ordii (Ord's kangaroo rat)
Lineage: Eukaryota; Metazoa; Chordata; Mammalia; Rodentia; Heteromyidae
Rfam family: tRNA
About the family: Transfer RNA (tRNA) molecules are approximately 80 nucleotides in length. Their secondary structure includes four short double-helical elements and three loops (D, anti-codon, and T loops). Further hydrogen bonds mediate the characteristic L-shaped molecular structure. tRNAs have two regions of fundamental functional importance: the anti-codon, which is responsible for specific mRNA codon recognition, and the 3' end, to which the tRNAs corresponding amino acid is attached (by aminoacyl-tRNA synthetases). tRNAs cope with the degeneracy of the genetic code in two manners: having more than one tRNA (with a specific anti-codon) for a particular amino acid; and 'wobble' base-pairing, i.e. permitting non-standard base-pairing at the 3rd anti-codon position.
Source: Rfam by way of RNAcentral